This 152-nucleotide unclassified non-coding RNA is filed under the name uncultured Basidiomycota. Its description in RNAcentral is "sequence contains ITS1". The record is from RNAcentral. Lineage: Eukaryota; Fungi; Basidiomycota.
CAGAAAUAAACUUGGUGGGUUGUUGCUGGCCUCGGCACUGUGCACGCCUGUCAUUUUUAUCUUUCCACCUGUGCACCCUAUGUAGGACCGUCGGUUCUAUGUAUCUUAUUUUACCACAUGAAUGUCGUCGAACGCAUAGAUAAUAAUCUAUA